Molecule: ribosomal RNA, 440 nt
Filed under: uncultured bacterium
Lineage: Bacteria
Description: partial 16S ribosomal RNA
Rfam family: Bacterial small subunit ribosomal RNA
Source: RNAcentral
CCUACGGGAGGCAGCAGUAGGGAAUAUUGCUCAAUGGGGGAAACCCUGAAGCAGCAACGCCGCGUGGAGGAUGAAGGUUUUCGGAUUUUAAACUCCUUUUUUUAGAGAAGAUAAUGACGGUAUCUAACGAAUAAGCACCGUCUAACACCGUGCCAGCAGCAGCGGUAAUACGGAGGGUGCAAGCGUUACUCGGAAUCACUGGGCGUAAAGAGCGCGUAGGCGGGAUAGCAAGUCAGAUGUGAAAUCCUAUGGCUUAACCAUAGAACUGCAUUUGAAACUGUUAUUCUAGAGUAUGGGAGAGGUAGGUGGAAUUCUUGGUGUAGGGGUAAAAUCCGUAGAGAUCAAGCGGAAUACUCAUUGCGAAGGCGACCUGCUAGAACAUCACUGACGCUGAUGCGCGAAAGCGUGGGGAGCAAACAGGAUUAGAUACCCGAGUAGUC